UAGCGGCGCGCUUAAUGCAUGCAAGUCGAGCGAUGAGGCACCUUCGGGUGUACAUCAGCGGCAGACGGGUGAGUAACACGUGGGUGACCUACCCUAAAGACGGGGAUAACCCUCGGAAACGGGGGCUAAUACCGGAUAGCUACAGCGUACGGGGGUAUGUUGUAGAAAGCUACGGCGCUUUAGGAGGGGCCUGCGGCCCAUCAGCUAGUUGGUAGGGUAACGGCCUACCAAGGCAAAGACGGGUAGGGGGUGUGAGAGCACGGCCCCCCACAAUGGGACUGGAACACGGCCCAUACUCCUACGGGAGGCAGCAGCAGGGAAUAUUGCGCAAUGGGCGAAAGCCUGACGCAGCGACGCCGCGUGAGUGAAGACGGCUUUCGAGUUGUAAAACUCUUUUCUGGGGGAAGAGGAAGGACGGUACCCGAGGAAUAAGCGUCGGCUAACUACGUGCCAGCAGCCGCGGUAAGACGUAGGACGCGAGCGUUAUCCGGAUUUACUGGGCGUAAAGCGCCUGUAGGCGGCUUCGUAAGUUGGGCGUGAAAGCCCCGUGCUUAACGCGGGGAGGCCGUUCAAUACUGCGGAGCUAGAGUACGGCAGAGGGGAGUGGAAUUCCUGGAGUAGCGGUAAAAUGCGCAGAUAUCAGGAGGAACACCAGUGGCGAAGGCGGCUCCCUGGGCCGAGACUGACGCUCAGAGGCGAAAGCUAGGGGAGCGAACAGGAUUAGAGACCCUGGUAGUCCUAGCCCUAAACGAUGGAUGCUAAGUGUGGGGACGAGGAGUUUCCGUGCCGGAGCAAACGCGAUAAGCAUCCCGCCUGGGGACUACGGCCGCAAGGUUAAAACUCAAACGAAUUGACGGGGGCCCGCACAAGCAGCGGAGCGUGUGGUUUAAUUCGAUGCUACACAAAGAACCUUACUGGGUUUGACAUGUAGGUGGUACGAAGCGAAACUGAGCGACCUUCGGGGAGCCUACCAGGUGCUGAAUGGCUGUCGUAAGCUCGUGCCAUAAGUGUAAGGUUAAGUCCCGAAAGAGCGCACCCUGGUCCUAGUUAUACGUGUCUAGGGGGACUUCCGUCGGGAAGCCGGAGUAAGUUGGGGAUGACGUCAAGUCAGCAUGGCCCUUAUGUCCAGGGCUACACACACGCUACAAUGGCCAGUACAAAGGGUAGCGAAUCCGCGAGGUGGAGCGAAUCUCAGCAAAGCUGGUCGUAGUUCGGAUUGCAGGCUGCAACCCGCAUGCAUGAAGCUGGAGUUGCUAGUAACCGCGCGUCAGCUAUA
This 1276-nucleotide ribosomal RNA is filed under the name uncultured organism. Its description in RNAcentral is "bacterial SSU rRNA". It matches the Rfam family "Bacterial small subunit ribosomal RNA", at positions 37 to 1356 of the family's 1533-position model. The record is from RNAcentral.